AGGGGAAUAGCUGGGUCAAAUGGUGGUUCCGUUCCCAGCUUUCCGAGGAAUCUCCAUACUGCUUUCCAAAUUGGCCGCACACCAAUUUGCAUUCCCACCAGCAAU
RNAcentral lists this microRNA precursor (105 nucleotides) under Marmota monax (woodchuck). The record is from RNAcentral. Lineage: Eukaryota; Metazoa; Chordata; Mammalia; Rodentia; Sciuridae.